AUACGAAGGGCCCGAGCGUUGCGCGGAAUCAUUGGGCUUAAAGGGUGCGUAGGCGGACCUGUAAGUACUUUGUGAAAGCCCACGGCUUAACCGUGGAACUGCUUGGUAGACUGCAGGUCUUGAGCUCGCCAGAGGCGGUCGGAACUCUAGGUGGAGCGGUGAAAUGCGUAGAUAUCUAGAGGAACGCCAAAGGUGAAGACAGACCGCUGGGCCGAUGCUGACGCUGAGGCACGAAAGCGUGGGUAGCAAACGGCAUUAGAAACCCCAGUAGUCC
This 274-nucleotide ribosomal RNA is filed under the name uncultured bacterium. RNAcentral describes it as "partial 16S ribosomal RNA". It matches the Rfam family "Bacterial small subunit ribosomal RNA", at positions 523 to 796 of the family's 1533-position model. The record is from RNAcentral.